Molecule: RNA transcript, 1974 nt
Organism: Melopsittacus undulatus (budgerigar)
Lineage: Eukaryota; Metazoa; Chordata; Aves; Psittaciformes; Psittaculidae
Gene name: HORMA domain-containing protein 1
Exons: 13
Source: RefSeq, a predicted model, not a curated record
UGCCCUUGUGAAUGGGCAGCCCUGUGUUAAUGCAGUGUUUCCUUAACAGGCAGGAGAGAGCUGCAGGAUGGCGACUGCUCAGAAGCAGAGGAGCUGUGCGGUAUGGUGUCCAUGGGUGUUUCAGCACAGGAUGCUAUUAGGACAGGACAAGGCAGUCAGUGGCAGCUGAGGCACUGCCCCUGGGGGCUCUAAUGCUGCUUCACUUGAGAACUGCAGGUUAAUUCCAUCUUGUAACUGAGCAAAGAUGGAACAACAGAAUAGCUUGAGCCUGACCUUUGUGCUUGUGCACUUGGUAGAAUCAACCGUGACCUAAAAUAUAGCAAGUGUUAGGAAUAUGCUUGAUGUUAGAACUGGCAGAAGUCAUGCUCUGCUGUUCGGAGCUGAGGCAGCACCGGAGCAGACUGCAGCCUGUCCGGGUUGGAUGUGGGCAGGGGUUAACUUCUUUCAUCCUCUUUCAGAGUGCAGUUGUGUUUCCUACCAAAAUAGCCACUGAGCAGCAGUCGCUGAUGCUGGUGAAGAGGCUCCUGGCAGUAGCAGUGUCCUGCAUUACCUACCUGAGAGGAAUCUUCCCUGAGAGUGCCUACAGGACAAGAUACAUGGAUGAUGUCUGUGUCAAAAUCCUGCGGGAAGACAAGAACUGCCCUGGCUCCACUCAGCUGGUGAAAUGGAUGUUAGGAUGCUACGAUGCCUUGCAGAGGAAAUACCUCAGAAUGAUUGUCCUGGCAGUCUAUACCCAUCCAGAAGAUCCUCAGACCAUCACAGAGUGUUACCACUUCAAAUUCAAGUACACCAACAGUGGGCCCCUCCUGGACUUCAGCAGUAAGGACACAGGGAAUAACUCCACCAUCACCUGUGCAGACACCAAGAAAGCCAGCAUCCUCCUCAUCCGCAAGAUCUACGUCCUGAUGCAGAACCUGAGCCCCUUACCAAAUGAUGUUUGCCUCACUAUGAAGCUGUUCUAUUAUGAUGAAGUUACACCACCUGAUUACCAACCCCCUGGCUUUAAAGAGGGGGAAUGUGAGGGGAUGAUAUUUGAAGGGGAGCCCAUGUAUCUGAACGUGGGUGAAGUGCCAACACCUUUUCAUAUGCUGAAAGUCAAAGUGACAACUGAAAAGCAACGAAUGGAAAAUGUUGAUAAAAGCAUCCUGAAGAGAGGAGAAACGAAUGUGCCUCUCCAGGUGAUCCGAGUGGACAGGGAUGAUCCGGAAGAGGAGAACUGCGACAUGAAUGAAAACCCCAGCCCGGAUAACAAAGUGGAAGAGAGGAAUAAUGUGAAGAUUUCUGAAGCUCAAGAACCACAUGUAACUUGUGAGGAAGAUGGAGUUACAAAGGCUGUGAGGAGCCAGAAUUCCUGUGUUUCUAACCCUCAGGUGGAUCACUUGGCAAGUAAAACAUCUCAACUUCGUAUGUCGGAGAGCAGGACAAGGAGUGGGAAGCUAUUCCAGACCAGCACUGUUCAUCAGUUUGAGCUCUCAUCUAGUCAAGAUGUGCUGCCAAAAAGGAGGAAGAUCAGUGAACCAAAGGAGUAGUUCUGGAUGCCUGUGUCCAGCUGGUCCUUCACCCAGUUCUCCACACCACUUCCAUGUUGUUGUUGAAUGCAAAUGUUCCUAUUGAAAUAGCUUUUAGGGAUCGUUUUGGUUCUGGUUGUAGUCAAACUGGACAGUUUUGAAAGGAAUAAGCCUGUCAAGAAGCCCAGUUGAAGAAAUCAGAAGUUAUUUUCCUGUAUCCCAUGGGGAAGGACAGAAGAUGUGAUCUAUGUAAUGACAAAGCAUUCAGCUGUUAGAACGCUGCACAAUUCCUUAUGGAUGCGCUUCCAACGCUUCCCAGCGGCUUCGCCUUUCCCAACAACCGACGUCCUCUUCCCAUCGCUGUCCAUGACCUGGAGCUGCCUCUGCGCGGAGCUGCUGCCGCCUUCAGACGGCAUCACCCAACGUUUCGGGACGGGUUUGGCCUUAGGAACGCAUCGAUCCCGUU